UGCCAGACUCCUACGGGAGGCAGCAGUGGGGAAUAUUGCACAAUGGGGGAAACCCUGAUGCAGCAACGCCGCGUGAGUGAUGACGGCCUUCGGGUUGUAAAGCUCUGUCUUCAGGGACGAUAAUGACGGUACCUGAGGAGGAAGCCACGGCUAACUACGUGCCAGCAGCCGCGGUAAUACGGAGGAUGCGAGCGUUAUCCGGAUUUAUUGGGUUUAAAGGGUGCGUAGGCGGCGCUUCAGGUCAGCGGUGAAAUACCGGGGCUCAACCCCGGGGCUGCCGUUGAAACCGGAGCGCUAGAAUUCCGAUGCCGUCGGAGGAAUGUGUGGUGUAGCGGUGAAAUGCAUAGAUAUCACACAGAACACCGAUUGCGAAGGCAUCUGACGAAUCGGAGAUUGACGCUGAUGCACGAAAGCGUGGGUAUCGAACAGGAUUAGAUACCCCCGUAGU
Molecule: ribosomal RNA, 448 nt
Filed under: uncultured bacterium
Lineage: Bacteria
Description: partial 16S ribosomal RNA
Rfam family: Bacterial small subunit ribosomal RNA
Source: RNAcentral